RNAcentral lists this transfer RNA (67 nucleotides) under Benthomangelia sp. JEU-2016. RNAcentral's name for it is "tRNA-Met". The record is from RNAcentral. Lineage: Eukaryota; Metazoa; Mollusca; Gastropoda; Neogastropoda; Conidae.
UGUAAAAUAAGCUAAGUAAUAAGCUUUUGGGUUCAUACCCCAAAUAUGAAUAUUUAUUCUUUUACAA